This 497-nucleotide ribosomal RNA is filed under the name uncultured bacterium. RNAcentral describes it as "partial 16S ribosomal RNA". It matches the Rfam family "Bacterial small subunit ribosomal RNA", at positions 28 to 507 of the family's 1533-position model. The record is from RNAcentral.
GAUGAACGCUGGCGGCGUGCCUAAUACAUGCAAGUCGAGCGAACAGAUGAGGAGCUUGCUCCUCUGACGUUAGCGGCGGACGGGUGAGUAACACGUGGAUAACCUACCUAUAAGAAUGGGAUAAUUUCGGGAAACCGGAGCUAAUACCGGAUAAUAUAUUGAACCGCAUGGUUCAAUAGUGAAAGACGGUUUUGCUGUCACUUAUAGAUGGAUCCGCGCCGCAUUAGCUAGUUGGUAAGGUAACGGCUUACCAAGGCAACGAUGCGUAGCCGACCUGAGAGGGUGGUCGGCCAGACUGGAACAGAGACACGGUACAGACUCCUACAGGAGGCAGCAGUAGGGAAUCUUCCGCGAUGGGCGAGAGCCUGACGGAGCAACACCGCGUGAGUGAUGAAGGACUUCGGAUCGUAAAACUCUGUUAUUAGGGAAGAACAAAUGUGUAAGUAACUAUGAACGUCUUGACGGUACCUAAUCAGAAAGCCACGGCUAACUACGUG